CUGGAGCCAUGCAUCUCUCCAUGCAUACUCUUUGGUACCCAUGAAGCAACUUCAUUGGAAACUUUCGCCCCAAGGAAUGGCUAAUAGCUUUCCAUUAUGUAAAAGAUUUUGUUGCUGGUUCGAUACAAGAAGUCAGGACAUUGAAUCUUCCAGUGUCUAUUGUUCAUUAUAUGGAUAUUUUAUCAGUUGA
This is a long non-coding RNA of Mus musculus (house mouse), 190 nucleotides long. RefSeq annotates it as predicted gene, 40982. NCBI's taxonomy places the organism in Eukaryota, Metazoa, Chordata, Mammalia, Rodentia, Muridae. The record is from RefSeq and is a predicted model, not a curated record. The transcript is spliced from 2 exons.